Papilio machaon (common yellow swallowtail) is the source of this 119-nucleotide non-coding RNA. NCBI's taxonomy places the organism in Eukaryota, Metazoa, Arthropoda, Insecta, Lepidoptera, Papilionidae. The record is from Rfam.
GCCAACGUCCAUACCACGUUGAAAACACCGGUUCUCGUCCGAUCUCCGAAGUUAAGCAACGUCGGGCGCGGUCAGUACUUGGAUGGGUGACCGCCUGGGAACACCGUGUGAUGUUGGCU